Molecule: long non-coding RNA, 2281 nt
Organism: Lutra lutra (Eurasian river otter)
Lineage: Eukaryota; Metazoa; Chordata; Mammalia; Carnivora; Mustelidae
Exons: 3
Source: RefSeq, a predicted model, not a curated record
ACGAAGCUCCAUCCCAUGACCCUGAGAUUAUGACCUGAGCCAAAGGCAGAUGCUUAACAAACUGAACCACCGAGACACCCCCGCCAAUAUGAUUUUUCACUUAAAUGUUCUAAAUAAUUUUUACUGGAAAGAAUUUUUAGGUUGAAGCUUAGCUUAUCCCUGUUAUAAAAAAUGUAAGCCAUAUACUCUAAUUGCCAAAGAUAGUCCUAAUCAUCAGAGCAAUCCUCCAAACUGGACUUUCUUUAAAAAAAAAAAAAAGAUUGCAUUUACUUAUUUGACAGAGAGCGAGCACACAAGCAGGGGGAGCAGCAGAUGGAGAGGGAGAAGCAGACUCCCCGCUGGGCAGGGAGCCCAAUGUUGGGCUCUAUCCCAGGACCCUGGGAUUAAGACCCAAGCAGAAGGCAGACUCUGCCAACAGAGCCACCCAGGUGCCCCUGGGCUUUCUGUCAGAAAAACAUGACUUUUUCAAUCCAAAUGAAUACGUUAAUACACAUUUCAAGGAUUAUUAGAAACACCACUUAGAACUACAUUCUAGAGCACACUGUAGGGUAAAUGAUGAAAAGCAGUGAAGUCAACGCACAGUGCUGACCUCCUCAAGCUCAUGAUGAACACGGUCCCUUUCCCCCACCUCCAUGCCUGGCUUUGCCCCUCUGACAUACAGUGUAUCUAUUUAGUAAUGAACUAUCAAAACAAGGUGCUGCUGUUGCUCCUCAUUUUAACUGGUAACAAGGCAAUGUAAUAUACAGCCAAAAUCACGAAUUACUUAAGAAGCAAGGAAGAUUAUGAAAAGGCAUUGUGUUUAUUUAGUAAAUUGGUGUAUAUCAAAUCUAGUUCUUUAAAAAAAAAAAGUAUAAGCAAUUAAAAAAUAAAUCCAUUAGCAUCUCUCUCAAACUUUCCCUGUUUAUUGGAUGAAAAGGAUCAGGAUGCACCACAGGAGCUAGAGAGUGACCUGAUUGCGUCAAGUGGACAUAGAAAACAAGAGAUCCCAGGGCUGUUUGUCCUUCCAAUCUGAGCUAAGACAGGGCUGGAAUCCUACUGGAGAGACUCCUCUCCACUUAUUCCAAAGACGUUCACUCGAUUUUUGUCUACACCCAGCUGGUGGCAAAUCCACAACCACCAUCCAGUGACCAGCUUCUCCGCUCUGGGCUGGCAGGUCCAUACCUGACAUGGGACACACCAGUGGGAAGCCGAGCCCGAGAGCUGUGACACCACUCAGGUUGCCUCCCAGAAGCGGCUCAGCACUACAUCAGGUAAGACGAGCAAAUGGGAGGCAUUUGUGCACUUCGGGCUGGGGCUCUCUUACUGAGCUCUGCUGCUGGUCCCCUUCUGGAUUCUGCCAUGGACUAUGGGUGUGGCCUUACACAAGGGCCUAUUUUUGGAGGAACGGGUCUUAUCUCAAAUAUCCUUGAGUCUUCCACAGCAUUUAUCAGUGCUAAGCACUGUGGGUGUUAAGUGGAAAUCUGUAAAAUAAGAAAAACCACCAAAAUCCUGUGGUUCUUCAGUAAGUUUAAAAUGUUGACUACUAGUACUUGUAUCACAUACAAAGGGAUACGCUCCUUAAAGAUCUAUACAAGUCCUUACAAAUGAAUAAGGAAAAUAGUAACUUUUGGAAAAAUGGGCAAAGGAUAUCAACAGUUUACAGGGAAGGAAAUGCAAACAACUUAAAUAUUUGAUGCAUUCCUUAUAAGAGAAACGUACAUUAAAACAAAGAGAUUCAACUUCUUCCCUAUGAAACCGACAGAUCAAAAAGCUGGCAAACCCUGUUGGUCAGAGCUGGGGAAAGGCCCCUCCAUACACUGGGACUGUGGGGAAGGCAUAACACAAGGACCAGCCUCUCUGGAGAACAGUCUAGCAUAUCUUUGAAAAUUAGUCCCCUUGGGCUCAGCAAUUUCACUUCUAGAAAUUUGCCUAGACAGGUGUAUGCGCACAGGUGGAAAAUGGCAUGCAGUUUGUAAUCAUAAUAAAGAAAAAAGGAAACAAACCUAAAUCUCUUUUAACAGAGGACUGGUUGAAUCCGUGAUGGUUUCUAUGCAAAGGAACACAGCAGCCAUCAGCCCUAGCACUGAGAUGCGGAAGUGGCCCAGCCAAAUGACCCAGAGGCAUGGGGAGGAACAAAAGCAAGGCCAGCCUCGCAUGCAGAGCUCAGUGUAGGACUAGCACACCUUCACAAAGGUAAGAAUGCAAGUGCAGUUGUCAAAAAGGGGCAAAGAGAGGAGAGGGGCGCCUGGGUGGCUCAGUGGGUUAAGCGGCUGCCUUUGGCUCAUGAUCCCAGGGUCCUGGA